This 1078-nucleotide long non-coding RNA is filed under the name Aotus nancymaae (Ma's night monkey). RNAcentral's name for it is "lncRNA (ENSANAG00000039021.1)". The record is from RNAcentral. Lineage: Eukaryota; Metazoa; Chordata; Mammalia; Primates; Aotidae.
GCAACUGGUUCACUCAAGGCUGGAAAUGAUUAGAAAUUCUAGAAGAUGGAGUCUAGUCUACACACAAUUCAAACUAAGGACCCCUCACCCCUGGCCCUUGGGUUUAGAGUUCCAUAGCUCCAAGAGGGGCCACUUUCAUCAUGGAAUAUCUCUCCUGAGCACUACAGCCCUGAUCUUUCAAAGCUGCAAUAGAUCAGAAAUUCUAGAAGGCGAAGAGGUCAAUAUAUGCAGCCAACAGUUCGCUAUCACUACUUUAGACUGUGAUCCCUCUAAAUGCAGGAAUCCUACCUGACCAGCAUGAUGUUUAACCCUGAAAGUUACCCUGAAACUAUAUGCUGAACGAAUAGAUAGGUGAACAAAUAUGAGAAUGCAUGGAGAAUCAAGAAACAGAAAAAUUGAUGGGAAUACUAAAAGCAAGCACUGUAGUGGAAAACAAAGAAGUGAUAAAAAGAAUAAAGUAAAAUAAAAAACCAGGAUUUCACAAGAAGAGAAUCAUUACAGCCUAGAAGACAAUGUGGGUGAUUUAAUCACAAAUAGUUUUAAGAAACAUGAGAAAAAGGGUCUGCAGGCAACUUGAAAUAGACUCUUAAGUACCUGACAAACCUGAGAAAAAUAGGUAGGGAAGAAAUCAGUGCAUUGAAACCCCACACAGCUUCAAUGUACCAUCCCUUUUCAAUCACUUGGAAGGAAAAUGAUGUGUUUAGUACGUCCUCCUUCUUCAUGUUUGUGUCUUUAAAUAGGGUAUUUGGAUUCACAGACUGUAGCCUCCUCAGAUUGUCUCUCCUCCCAGCACACUGCCGUGCUUUUUAAAUGACACCAGCCUUCCAAGCAAGAUUGAUUGUAAACUUGAAAAGGUUAUAUGUGAUGUAAUGAAUAACACAUGCUACCCCCUCGAGCGCAUCUCCAGAAGGGCACAUACCUAGGAUCCUGUGUGUUCUUAUCAUUCAGAAAAGACUGGAAGGGACUCUUGUUGGGCAAGCUGACAGAAAUCUUCCUAUUAUGCUCACUAAAUAAAUUGCCUUAUCUUUAGUUAAUUCACUCCAUGAAUACACAGUUAUUAACAACCAACCAUUUUUUA